GGUCGCGAUGGUGUGGUCCUCAC
RNAcentral lists this non-coding RNA (23 nucleotides) under Arabidopsis thaliana (thale cress). Lineage: Eukaryota; Viridiplantae; Streptophyta; Magnoliopsida; Brassicales; Brassicaceae. The record is from RNAcentral.